Molecule: ribosomal RNA, 106 nt
Filed under: Romboutsia timonensis
Lineage: Bacteria; Bacillati; Bacillota; Clostridia; Peptostreptococcales; Peptostreptococcaceae
Source: RNAcentral
UUAUUAUAGCAAAGAGGAUACACCUGUUCCCAUACCGAACACAGAAGUUAAGCUCUUUAGCGCUGAUGGUACUUGGUGGGCGACUGCCUGGGAGAGUAAGGCGUAG